GACGAACGCUGGCGGCGUGCUUAACACAUGCAAGUCGAACGGAAAGGCCCCAGCUUGCUGGGGUACUCGAGUGGCGAACGGGUGAGUAACACGUGGGUGAUCUGCCCUGCACUCUGGGAUAAGCCUGGGAAACUGGGUCUAAUACCGGAUAGGACCGUGCUUUAGUGUGUGCGGUGGACAGUUUUUCGGUGCAGGAUGAGCCCGCGGCCUAUCAGCUUGUUGGUGGGGUAAUGGCCUACCAAGGCGGCGACGGGUAGCCGGCCUGAGAGGGUGUACGGCCACAUUGGGACUGAGACACGGCCCAGACUCCUACGGGAGGCAGCAGUGGGGAAUAUUGCACAAUGGGCGCAAGCCUGAUGCAGCGACGCCGCGUGGGGGAUGACGGCCUUCGGGUUGUAAACCCCUUUCGGCAGGGACGAAGCUUUUGUGACGGUACCUGCAUAAGAAGCACCGGCUAACUACGUG
RNAcentral lists this ribosomal RNA (465 nucleotides) under uncultured bacterium. Its description in RNAcentral is "partial 16S ribosomal RNA". It matches the Rfam family "Bacterial small subunit ribosomal RNA", at positions 28 to 507 of the family's 1533-position model. The record is from RNAcentral.